AUGGUGCUGAAGGCCAAGAAGGAAUCGCCUAGCACAUGUCCUGCUCAUGCCCCUCUUAAAGCCGAAGCCAAAGCAAAGGCAUUGAAGGCCAAGAAAGCAGUGCUGAAAGGUGUCCACAGUCACACACAUACAAAAAGAAGAUCCUCACAUCAUCCACUUUCUGGAGGUCCAAGACUCUGCAGCUACGGAGGCAGCCCAAAUAUCCUCAGAAGAGCUCCCAGGAGAAACAAACUUGACCGCUAUGCCAUCAUCAAGUUUCCCUUGACCACUGAGUCUGCCAUGAAGAAAAUAGAAGACAACAACACACUUGUGUUCAUCGUAGAUGUUAAAGUCAACAAGCACCAGAUAAAACAGGCUGUGAAGAAGCUCUAUGACAUUGAUGUUGCCAAGGUCAACACCCUGAUUAGGCCUGAUGGAGAGAAGAAGGCAUAUGUUCGACUGGCUCCUGAUUAUGAUGCUUUGGAUGUUGCCAACAAAAUUGGAAUCUUUUAAACAGAGUCCAGCUGGAUAAUUCUAAAUAUAUAUCUUUUCACCAUAAAAAAAGAA
RNA transcript from Carlito syrichta (Philippine tarsier), 546 nucleotides. It is a transcript of the gene named 60S ribosomal protein L23a pseudogene, with no coding region annotated. NCBI's taxonomy places the organism in Eukaryota, Metazoa, Chordata, Mammalia, Primates, Tarsiidae. The record is from RefSeq and is a predicted model, not a curated record. The transcript has a single exon.